Molecule: transfer RNA, 73 nt
Filed under: Tepidibacillus fermentans
Lineage: Bacteria; Bacillati; Bacillota; Bacilli; Caryophanales; Bacillaceae
Rfam family: tRNA
About the family: Transfer RNA (tRNA) molecules are approximately 80 nucleotides in length. Their secondary structure includes four short double-helical elements and three loops (D, anti-codon, and T loops).
Source: Rfam by way of RNAcentral
GCGGCCGUGGCGAAGUGGUUAACGCACCGGAUUGUGGCUCCGGCACGCAUGGGUUCGAUCCCCAUCGGUCGCC